This 69-nucleotide transfer RNA is filed under the name Pseudopaludicola saltica (Chupada swamp frog). RNAcentral's name for it is "tRNA-Val". It matches the Rfam family "tRNA". From Rfam's summary of the family: Transfer RNA (tRNA) molecules are approximately 80 nucleotides in length. Their secondary structure includes four short double-helical elements and three loops (D, anti-codon, and T loops). Lineage: Eukaryota; Metazoa; Chordata; Amphibia; Anura; Leptodactylidae. The record is from RNAcentral.
CAAAAUGUAGCUUAAAUGAAGCAUCUCGCUUACACCGAGAAGAUACCCGCGAAAUCCGAGUCAUUUUGA